CAUUUCACCGCGGUGCGCAGUUUGGCAGUGAAGUCCCCCAGCUGCCAUUCCCGUGGAAGCCCCCCCGGCAGUACUUGACUCCUCGUCAUGGCCCCGACCAUCCAGACUCAGGCUCAGCGGGAAGACGGUCACCGAGCCAGCUCCCAUCGGACUGUGCAGGAGAGGUCGGGCGUAGUCUGUCGAGUCAAGUACUGUAACAGCCUCCCGGACAUCCCGUUCGACCCCAAGUUCAUCACGUACCCCUUUGACCAGAGCAGGUUCGUCCAGUACAAGGCGACGUCCCUGGAGAAGCAGCACCGGCACGACCUGCUGACGGAGCCGGACCUGGGCGUCACCAUCGACCUCAUUAACCCGGACACCUACCGCGUGGAGGCGGGCGCGCCGCUGGACCCCGCCGAUGAGAAGCUGCUGGAGGAAGAGAUCCAGGCCCCCACCAGCUCGCGGCGCUCCCAGCAGCACGCCAAGGUGGUGCCCUGGAUGAGGAAGACGGAGUACAUCUCCACCGAGUUCAACCGCUACGGCGUGUCCAACGAGAAGCCCGAGGUCAAGAUCGGGGUGUCGGUGAAGCAGCAGUUCACGGAGGAGGAGAUCUACAAGGACCGCGACAGCCAGAUCUCGGCCAUCGAAAAGACCUUCGAGGACGCGCAGAAGUCCAUCUCCCAGCACUACAGCAAGCCCAGGGUGACCCCCGUGGAGGUGAUGCCCGUCUUCCCGGACUUCAAGAUGUGGAUCAAUCCCUGUGCGCAAGUGAUCUUCGACUCGGAUCCGGCGCCAAAGGACACCAGCGGCUCUGCAGCCCUGGAGAUGAUGUCCCAAGCCAUGAUCAGGGGCAUGAUGGACGAGGAGGGCAACCAGUUCGUGGCCUACUUCCUGCCCGUGGAGGAGACCAUGAGGAAACGGAAGCGCGACCAGGAGGAGAAGAUGGACUACGCCCCCGAUGAUAUCUAUGACUAUAAGAUCGCCAGGGAGUACAACUGGAACGUGAAGAACAAGGCUAGCAAAGGCUACGAAGAAAACUACUUUUUUAUCUUUCGAGAAGGCGACGGCGUCUACUACAACGAGCUGGAAACCAGAGUCCGCCUCAGUAAGCGCAGGGCCAAGGCUGGCGUGCAGUCGGGCACCAACGCUCUCCUGGUGGUCAAACACCGCAACAUGAAUGAGAAGGAGCUGGAAGCUCAGGAAGCUCGGAAAGCACAGCUGGAGAACCAUGAACCCGAAGAGGAGGAGGAAGAGGAAAUGGAGAAAGAGGCCCCUGACUCAGAUGAAGAACAGGAAAAAGGAAGUGGAAGUGAAAAGGAAGGCAGUGAGGAGGAGGAAGAAGAGCUGUCUGGAAGUGAGAGUGAUCAGGAAGAGGAAGAGAAGGAGGAAAGUGAGAAGAGUGGAAGUGGGGAGGACAAAGCCGAGGAGGAGAGCAGCGAGGAUGAGGCCCGAGCAGCCCGAGACAAGGAGGAGAUCUUUGGGAGUGAUGCCGACUCAGAGGAUGAUGAAGAAGAGGAGGAUGGGGGAGGUCCGGCCAAGGACAGUGGAGAGGAUGAAGACGACAGUGGCAGUGAUAGAGAGAAUGGGCAGCACAGCCCCAGUCCCUCCUUUCUCAGUGCUAGUGACCACUCAGCCCAAGAGGAUGGCAGUGAUAUGGGCACUUCUGAUUCCAGUGAGGAAGUCAGUGACAGUGACUGAGGCUCAGAGACCCAUUGCAAACCACCAAAAUGCCCAGGAGGGACUGGGCUUCUCCAGCUCUGACACCAUUCUCAGAACAAAAGGAAAAUAUUAUUUCUCUUCCCUCCCCCCUUAAAUUUUUGUUCUCAAUAAAGGCUAUAUGUUUACAAGUUAAAAAAAAAAAAAACCAAAAUGUAAAUGAGAGUCCCUGCCUUCUGAAAGCUAUUGGAGGAGAUGAUACAAGUGCAUACUGUCAGAGAUAUUAUAUGGCUUAAAUACUAAAUAGUAAAAUGUGUAUAUAAAUAUAUACAAAAUAAAUAUAAGGUAAUAGGGGUUGAAGGAGAGGAAUUGCUAACAGCUGGGAGGAUUAGUCAAAAUUAUGAAAAAAGAUAAAGGAGGCAUAAGACAAAAAGGGAAUUGAGGAUGGAGAGAAAUUCAAAUACAAAAAAAAAUAUGAAGGGGAAUAUGAUAAGGUUGGACAGGCAGAUUAGAAAUUGAUUAUGGAGAGCCUUGGAUACUAGGCUUAAGGAUUUCUAUUUUAUUUCACAGGCAGUGGAACACCACGGGGGGAUUCUGAGUAGAGAUCUUGAUCAUUUAGUGGUUUAAAAAAAAAAAUAAAAAAAAGAAAAGGAAAAAAAAAUACAUUGGAGAGACACUUGAAGAGAAAGCCCAAUGAAGAAAUCAUUGAGAUCUAUUCAGCUAGUACUGAGGUGCUUCCCUAAAAUGGUUGCAUUGUGACGGGAAAAAGAAUUAUAAAUGUAAGAAGUUAUAGAAGAAAUCAGGCUGAGAAAUUUAUAUGCAGAGUAAGGAAGAGGGGAAAAAGAAAAUCAAAAGUAACUCAAGUUUAUGGGCCUAAAUGGCUGGGAUGAUGGAGACAACCUCAACAUAAAUUGGUGGGGGAUGCAAGUUUAGAAGAAUGAGGAAUUUUGUGUUAGGCAUACUGAAGUACCAACCAAUGGACAUCCAAAUAGAGAUAUACAGCAGGCAAUUCAAAAAUCAGGAAUGGAACCCUAGAGAAAGGAAUUAUUCUAAAUUUAAUGCCAAUUAAGAGGAUAUUUUCCCAGUACCUUACCACUCCAUCCAAAAAGAAAACGAAAAUGAAGAAAAAAAAAAAUCUCUUUAAAUUUUUGAUCACAUUGAGAUUUUGCCAAGUGUAAUUCUUGGGAUUAUGCCAUUCUAAAGCUAAAAUGCAAAUUUAAUCCAAUUUACUCUUUGACACUUGGCAUGUCACCUCAACUUAUUCUUUUUUAAAAUGGGUGUGAGGGGCUCUAUGACCCAGGACAAGUCACAGAACCUUUUAAGGACUCAGUUUCCCUAUAAGUAAAAUGAAGCAGUUAGAUGUCAUUAAAUAUAAACUGGCUCCUUUCUCUGUAGAAUAGUGUGGGUAUCAACAAAAAUUCGUCAUCAGUGGUUCCUGAAAGAUUUGUCAGACAGUGGGCUUCUCAACUUUAGUCUCAGCUUCUUUUUAUCUCUGUAGCAAAGAGAAAGAAUGGGGGUUGGACUAUAGAUUUGGAAGUCAUCUACAUAAAGAUAUCAAAAUCACAUAGGAGUAGAUGAGAUUGUUAAGGGAUGGAAUUUAGAAAAGGGGGGGGUGGGGCAAGAAACGACUCUUAAAGGCACAAAGGGUGGGUGAAAGAUGAGAAACCAACAAUGGAAACAGAAGAAUGGUCAGAAAGAUAGGAGAAAUUUGCAAAUGCAAUAUCGUAGAUGCUAAUAGUUUACCAAGGAGAAGUUAGUCAACAGUUACAUAUUCUACAUAAACAUCAAGGAGGAAAUGGGGAUGUUUAAAGAGACCAUGUUAAAGAUAGUUACCAGUGAGCUUGGAGAAAGUUACUGCAAUAAAGUUGUGGUAUUUGUCCUUCAUGCUCAAAGAAGAACAAUGACAUUAUGAAAGUGAUUUCUUGACUUGCUUAAUACAAAAUGAGGUUUUAUAUUAACUGUCUUUACCAUGUUAUCUAAGAGUAGUAGUAGUUGCUCUUUGAGGAUCCAACCUACCAAAUUCAAGCAGAACUUAGGGAAUACUACUAUUUCUCUUCUGCCUUUUUCUCCUCCUUUCUCUUCUCUUAAUAAAAGUAGUCCCCUUCUUGAUGAGAGUAAAACUCUGCUUGAUCUGAGUGAGCCCUGUAAAAUUAUGUAAAAUUAUGUCACCAAUAAAAAAUGUCUCCUUUGAUCUACAAA
Molecule: RNA transcript, 3834 nt
Organism: Sarcophilus harrisii (Tasmanian devil)
Lineage: Eukaryota; Metazoa; Chordata; Mammalia; Dasyuromorphia; Dasyuridae
Gene name: RNA polymerase II-associated factor 1 homolog pseudogene
Exons: 1
Source: RefSeq, a predicted model, not a curated record